This is a long non-coding RNA of Leopardus geoffroyi (Geoffroy's cat), 282 nucleotides long. RefSeq lists it as uncharacterized. Lineage: Eukaryota; Metazoa; Chordata; Mammalia; Carnivora; Felidae. The transcript has 3 exons. The record is from RefSeq and is a predicted model, not a curated record.
AGCUCCCAGUAUCUCACAGAGGCCUAGGUGAUCUGCAGUGAUCCCACUGGAUUAACGGGUCCCUCUUCUCUGGUGCUACAAGCCUGCCAGACCUGCGCUCAGCACUCACCGUUCUCAGACAGAAGGGGCAAGAUAACGAACCUAGAUUACACCUGGACUUGAGACAAAUCGCAGAAUCUUGCAAGAGCCGAGUGAUGCCCUCACCUGCAGGAUGAUUUGCUGAUUCCUGAAGCCAAGUUCUGUGUUACGAGGCACCGCUCUGAAUGGUAGGGGAUGGACUAG